This 260-nucleotide ribosomal RNA is filed under the name Escherichia coli. RNAcentral describes it as "partial 16S ribosomal RNA". It matches the Rfam family "Bacterial small subunit ribosomal RNA", at positions 1286 to 1533 of the family's 1533-position model. Lineage: Bacteria; Pseudomonadati; Pseudomonadota; Gammaproteobacteria; Enterobacterales; Enterobacteriaceae. RNAcentral also lists the same sequence under 3 other names. The record is from RNAcentral.
UCGUAGUCCGGAUUGGAGUCUGCAACUCGACUCCAUGAAGUCGGAAUCGCUAGUAAUCGUGGAUCAGAAUGCCACGGUGAAUACGUUCCCGGGCCUUGUACACACCGCCCGUCACACCAUGGGAGUGGGUUGCAAAAGAAGUAGGUAGCUUAACCUUCGGGAGGGCGCUUACCACUUUGUGAUUCAUGACUGGGGUGAAGUCGUAACAAGGUAACCGUAGGGGAACCUGCGGUUGGAUCACCUCCUUACCUUAAAGAAGC